CAAGUCGAACGAUGAACCACUUCGGUGGGGAUUAGUGGCGAACGGGUGAGUAACACGUGGGCAAUCUGCCCUUCACUCUGGGACAAGCCCUGGAAACGGGGUCUAAUACCGGAUACUGACCCUUGCAGGCAUCUGCGAGGUUCGAAAGCUCCGGCGGUGAAGGAUGAGCCCGCGGCCUAUCAGCUUGUUGGUGAGGUAAUGGCUCACCAAGGCGACGACGGGUAGCCGGCCUGAGAGGGCGACCGGCCACACUGGGACUGAGACACGGCCCAGACUCCUACGGGAGGCAGCAGUGGGGAAUAUUGCACAAUGGGCGAAAGCCUGAUGCAGCGACGCCGCGUGAGGGAUGACGGCCUUCGGGUUGUAAACCUCUUUCAGCAGGGAAGAAGCGAAAGUGACGGUACCUGCAGAAGAAGCGCCGGCUAACUACGUGCCAGCAGCCGCGGUAAUACGUAGGGCGCAAGCGUUGUCCGGAAUUAUUGGGCGUAAAGAGCUCGUAGGCGGCUUGUCACGUCGGUUGUGAAAGCCCGGGGCUUAACCCCGGGUCUGCAGUCGAUACGGGCAGGCUAGAGUUCGGUAGGGGAGAUCGGAAUUCCUGGUGUAGCGGUGAAAUGCGCAGAUAUCAGGAGGAACACCGGUGGCGAAGGCGGAUCUCUGGGCCGAUACUGACGCUGAGGAGCGAAAGCGUGGGGAGCGAACAGGAUUAGAUACCCUGGUAGUCCACGCCGUAAACGGUGGGCACUAGGUGUGGGCAACAUUCCACGUUGUCGUGCCGCAGCUAACGCAUUAAGUGCCCCGCCUGGGGAGUACGGCCGCAAGGCUAAAACUCAAAGGAAUUGACGGGGGCCCGC
This 851-nucleotide ribosomal RNA is filed under the name Streptomyces violaceolatus. Its description in RNAcentral is "bacterial SSU rRNA". It matches the Rfam family "Bacterial small subunit ribosomal RNA", at positions 58 to 924 of the family's 1533-position model. The record is from RNAcentral. Lineage: Bacteria; Bacillati; Actinomycetota; Actinomycetes; Kitasatosporales; Streptomycetaceae.